CUGUAUAAAGUAUCACUUGAGCUUAGUUUGUUAUUCUAUAUGUUAUAUUAUAAGAUCAUGUUUCCUUCCUUAAACAAAAAAAAGAGUAUAACCACGAAUUGCUAUAUAUUUUUUUUUUAAAAAGAAAAUAAAUAAAAAUAAAAAAAAAAUAACCCUACUGAUGUGCUGAUUAGGCGCUAAAUUCCCUUUCAUUAGCUGCCAACUUAUUAAAAAAAUUAGCUAAACCACAAAAUUCCCUCAAAAAUUAGAAUCUUUCCCGAAAAAAAAAAAGAAAAGAAAUCAAAAAUCUUUUGCAGAAGAAUCAAAACCGUUCGAACUAUCCCUAAUUCGAAGAGUCGACUGACGCUCGCAAGAUCAAUUCUUGGACAAAAUUUCAAGGUUAGAUCUAUAACCUGUUCGUUUAUCUCAUAUGUAGUGUUUUACUAUGUGAAUCAAUGGUGAUUUAAUCUAUUUUUUCCAAUACUUAUGUGGUAGCAAUUGAAAUACGUUGGACUCUACUUCCUAUGCUUGAAUAGAAUUGUUCUCGAAUUUUGAUUAUAUUUUUGCAAUUUCAGCUUCAAUUUGGUGUGGCUCAACUGAUUUUGCUCUCGCUUUCCUGUUUUCAUUUAAUUAAUUGAAAAAUGAUAACUUAUAGCUCUUUAAAAAAUAGAUACCAAGUCUAACUAUAACUUUACUGCAAUAUGAAAGUUUAAGAAACAAACUAUGGAGUAAUGCAUGAAGUAUAUAAAAUAGUAGAAUGUAAGAAAUAGUACAUUUGCAAUUAUUUUGUCUUCCCUAGUUAAAGUCAUUCAUAUUUAGUGGGGGACCAUAUAUCUUAUGCGUUACUGAGAGGCAAUGCACAAUGUAUCUCGAGACAAUUAUAUGUAGUGGGGGAAGCCAUAGAAAACGAAAGAUAAACAGAGUCACAUAAUAACAAAACCAAUAGUCCAACAAAACAAAAGUAAAUGAUGAUUUAAAUAAUUUCAGGUCCACUUAGAUAAUAAGUAAGACUAUUUAUCAAACCAAACCCACUGAAAUUAGAACAAAAGCUUAAUCUUAAACUACUACUACUACAUAAUACUAGCUCUAACUACAAAUCUAUUGCAACAUAAACUGACAAAUUCUGUUGGAAAUGUGCCAUUCUAGUCAUUGUGAAUUAUGUAUGACUAUUGAUAAUUAUUAUUAUUACUUUUCAAUUUUUUUAAUAAUUAGCUCUCUUUGCAUUUAUAGCUUUUAUUUUCACAUGGAUACUCUGGAUGUUCAAAAGAGGUUAGAGUGGAUGAGGUGUGCUAAUAGGACAGACAAUCUCUAUAUAAAUGGAGUUAAUUCCUUUCUUCAAUUUGCUUUUGGUGACUUAGAAACAAAUAGUGAUUUAGGAGAAGAGGAAAAUAAGGUACCUUGCCCUUGUAAUCGAUGCAACAAUGGUCCACAUAAAACAAGGGACGAAAUUUACACCGACUUGAUAGUGAAUGGAAUCGUGCAAGGUUAUGUUCGUUGGAUCUAUCAUGGAGAAUUCAAACCCCCACAAAAGAAAAGUAGAAAUUAUUUGGGAGAUAGUGCUCAUGAUGAUAUAUAUAGAAUGAUCCAUGACAUGUUUAGUCCCGGAGUUUCUAAUAAUGAUGACAUAGAUGACAUGUUAGAUGCUGAGCAACAACCUAAGGAGUUUGAUCAACCUAGAUAUAAAAAGGAUACAAAAGAGGCAAAAAUGUUUGAAAAUUUGAUGAGAGAUGCUCAACAAACUUUAUACCCCGGGUGUAAUGAAUUUUCUAUAUUGUCAUUCAUUUUGAAGUUAUUCUAAAUCAAAUGUAUGGAUGGCAUGACUAAUAAAGCUUUUACUAGUAUGCUUCAUAUGUUCAUAUAUGCUUUGCCUAAAGGUGCUGAUUUGCCAUCAAAUUAUUAUGAAGCACGUAAGAUGAUUACUAAUCUUGGUUUCGAUUAUGAAAAAAUAGAAGCAUGUGAAAAUGAUUGUAUGCUAUUUUGGAAAGAGAAUGCUAACCUUGAAAAGUGUUCCAUAUGCGAUACUAAGCGUGAUAAAGCUUCUCCUAAAGUGUUACGCUAUUUCCCACUAACUUCGAGGUUGCAAAGGCUAUUCAUGUCGCCCAAAACAGCAAAUGAGAUGAGGUGGCACUCUGAUAAACGAGAAGAUGACGGAGUACUUAGACACCCAGCAGAUAGUGAAGCUUGGAAGCAUUUAGAUAAAGAAUAUCCUACUUUUUCUGCAGAGACUCGUAAUGUUAGGUUGGGUUUAGCAAGUGAUGGAUUCAAUCCAUUUGGCGGGCUUAGAAGUGACUAUAGUAUAUGGCUAGUAGUGGUUGUUGUGUACAAUCUCCCUCCAAGAGGUGAAUGAAGUUAUAAAGAAAGCAGAUCAAGCAAUUGAAGAUGCAAGAAAAGAAGCUGAAACUGCUAGAACAGAAGCAGAACAGGCUAAAAUAGAAGCUGAACAAGCCAAAAAAGAGGCAGAAGCUGUUAAGAAUGACGUGGACAGAAAAAUUGCUGAUAAUAAUGCAGUUUGGGAGAAGAAGUUUAGUCAACUUCUGGAUUUUCUUGGAGCAGGAAGUUCAUCAGAUUCUGAUGAUUUAGGAAGUCAAGGUUCAAAGGAAUGAAGUAACAAGGAGCGGAGCACAGACAUAUUGUCACAUUGUACAUAUAUAUAGAGUAUAUAUUGUUCUUCAGCAAAACAAUUUGAGUGUUUUAUUUUUUAUUUAUUUUAGUAAGAGUGAGCUAGUGAUGAGACAAUGAGACAAUUGAUUUCUAGUAUGUUUGUAUGUAUGGAUAUCGAAUUCAAGUAUGUUUGAAUGAAUGGGAUUCCAAGACAUAAUAUCACCUUUUUAAUGUUA
Chenopodium quinoa (quinoa) is the source of this 2816-nucleotide long non-coding RNA. RefSeq lists it as uncharacterized. The transcript has 2 exons. Lineage: Eukaryota; Viridiplantae; Streptophyta; Magnoliopsida; Caryophyllales; Amaranthaceae. The record is from RefSeq and is a predicted model, not a curated record.